UAAUUGACGUCGCUGUUUCUGCAGCUGCCGCAGCAGCAGAGGCUGCCGCGGAUGCAGCAGCAGCGGCAUUAGCAGAGGCCGCAGCAGAAGCAGCAGCAGACGCAGCAGCAGACGCAGCGGCGGAGGCAGCAGCAGAUGCCGCAGCUGAA
This 149-nucleotide small RNA is filed under the name Mytilus galloprovincialis (Mediterranean mussel). Lineage: Eukaryota; Metazoa; Mollusca; Bivalvia; Mytilida; Mytilidae. The record is from RNAcentral.